Pelobates cultripes (western spadefoot toad) is the source of this 261-nucleotide non-coding RNA. Lineage: Eukaryota; Metazoa; Chordata; Amphibia; Anura; Pelobatidae. The record is from the annotation of a GenBank genome assembly.
AUCAAGUCCAUGGGGGAACUUCCGCGCCAUUAGCGGACCUGUGGGUGUCUCCAUGGGGUGUGGUCCCCUAGAAAUGGGCGGGCAAAUUCUGUCCAAUACAAAACUUAUCGCACCCAAAAGGGGCAUUGGUAAAUGAGGACAUCGCCGCGGAACUGUUCUGUAUCGUUGGCAUCAUUCGGCCUUGCCGUCGAGUUGGUUUGGGGGAACAGGACGCGUCCGAUUAUUGGCGACCCUUCCAUCUUUUGGGUUGCAUGUUUGCAG